UAUUUUAAUAAAUUAAAUUAAAAUAAUAUCAAUCAAUACAUUUUAAAUUUAAACUUAAUUAAAAAAAUAAAAAUAAGUAUUUAAAAAAGAUGUAUUCUUUUCCAACUGCUUGGUACUUCUGUAUUUUUCCAGGUUGACAGUCUCCUUGGACCUUUGGGAGGCAGUGGGGGUAUUUGGGUUUUGGAAUCAGAGGGCUGGAUUUGAAUUCUGGAUCUGUCAUUCACUACCCAUGUGACCAUGGGGAAAUUGCUGAAUUUCUCUAGGCUUCAGUAUCCUUCCCCCAAAAGAUGUGCUUGGAUUAGCUAAUCCCCAAAUUCCCUUCCAGAUUUAAAUCUAUAAUCUCUUUGGCUUCCUUCCUUUUUUUUUUUUUUCUUUUCUUUUUUUUUUUUUGCAGUGGUCUAAGAAAGGAACCUUGGAAGUAUCAAUUCCACAUUUCUUGUUCUUCAUUCAGGUCUUGGAUAUGUGGAAGCUAUGUGGGCCUUUCUGAAGUCUUUGAAAUAAUCUGCUGUCCAUUGGGGACCUGAAAGCCAAGUGGUUGGGACUUGGAGGAAGAGAUGCCCGAGAUACCAAGGCACAGGGUACAGACCUCCUUGACACACAUUUAGAUAUCCCCAUGGAAGGAUAGUCAAGCCCUCAGGACAUCACAAAUCCUAAGGACAGUGUUGAUAGUUCACCACGUUUUAGAUCUAGAAAUGGAAGGGACCAUAGAUGUUGUAUACUCCAAGCCCCUCUUUUUAUAAUAGAAGAAACUAAAACCCAGAGAAGGAAAAUGUCUUAUUAAAGGAAAAACUGGGAUUUCUACCUAGUCCUCUGACUAAAUCUAGUGCUUCUCCCACUAUUCCUUAUUUGCCUUCUUCUGGAAUAUUUAGGAUGAUGGGAGUGAGAUCCUGAGAUAGAACCCACAGCUUAGUCAGUCAAGCCAUCAAGAAACAUUUAUUAUGUGAUUACUGUACUGAAUUCAAAUCUGGUCUCAGACACUUAUUAGCUGUGUGACCCUCAGUUUCCUCAUCUGUAAAAUGAGCUGGAGAAAGAAAUGGCAAACCACUCCAGUAUCUUUGCCAAGAAAACCCCAAAAAGAGUCACAAAGAGUUAGAUACAACUGAAACAACUGAACAAUAUAUGUUUGUAUAUACAUGUUGUUGCCACUGAUAAACUGUAAGCUCCUUAAGGACAGAGGCCAUUCUUUGUACCUGAAACUUAGUAAGUACUUAAUAAAUGCUGAGUAAUUGAUUGACUUAGAGGCA
This 1244-nucleotide long non-coding RNA is filed under the name Monodelphis domestica (gray short-tailed opossum). RNAcentral's name for it is "lncRNA (ENSMODG00000041072.1)". The record is from RNAcentral. Lineage: Eukaryota; Metazoa; Chordata; Mammalia; Didelphimorphia; Didelphidae.